AUGCUUCUGGAAGCCCUUAAGCGCACGGGGAGGCAGCUGGUGCGCGUCAAGGUGGUGGACUCCGGCAGCGAAGAAACCCGCCUGUCGCGCUGCCUCAACACCUUCGACCUGGUGGCGCUGGGCGUGGGCAGCACGCUGGGCGCCGGCGUCUACGUGGUGGCCGGCAACGUGGCCAAAGAAAGUUCGGGACCCGCCAUCGUCCUGUCCUUCCUCAUUGCGGCGCUGGCGUCCGUCCUGGCCGGCCUGUGCUACGCCGAAUUUGGCGCCCGCGUGCCCAAAACGGGCUCGGCGUACCUUUACACUUAUGUGGCGGCCGGAGAGUUGCUGGCCUUCAUCACCGGAUGGAACCUCCUCAUGUCGUAUGCCAUUGGUACUUCGAGCGUGGCCAAAACGUGGAGCGCCACUUUCGACACGCUCAUCGGAGGCAAAAUCGGGAGGUGGAGCAAAAGCAACUUCCCCAUGAACUUGCCUGGCGUCCUGUCAGAAUACGCCGACGUCUUUUCAGUGGGUCUCGUCUUCGUUUUCACAGGCCUGCUCGGCUUUGGCGCGAAGGAGUCUGCGCUGGUGGGCAAAAUUUUCACCAGCAUCAACAUCUUGGUUCUCGUAACCGUAAUGGUCAGCGGGAUGAUCAAAGGAGAUGCCGAAAACUGGAAGGUGGACCCAGAGGAGAUCCUGCGCGCCGCCGCCGCUAUGGCGUCCUCACCUAAUGCAACAAAUAAUUCGUCUUUGAAGGAAAGUCUGGGCGCAGGGGGCUUCAUGCCUUUCGGCUGGACGGGGGUCUUCUCCGGGGCCGCCACUUGCUUCUACGCCUUCAUUGGCUUUGAAUGUAUCGCCACUUCAGGUGAGGAGGUGAAGAACCCGCAGAAGGCCGUCCCCAUCGGCAUCGUGAGCUCGCUGCUCAUCUGCCUGCUGAUGUACGUGGGCGUGUCCACCGCCCUCACCCUCUUGAUGCCGUACUACCUCCUGGACGCGCAGAACCCGCUGCCGGUGGCCUUCACGCACGUGGGCUGGCCCUUUGCCACCGACGCCGUGGCUGCCGGCUCUCUCUGCGCGCUCUCCACCAGUUUACUGGGCGCCAUGUUCCCCAUGCCCAGAGUGAUUUGGGCCAUGGCAGAGGACGGCCUGCUCUUCAAAUGUUUGAGCAGAAUCAACGGUCGCACCAAAACGCCUCUCAUAGCGACCAUCGUGUCCGGCGGCGUCUCGGCCGUGGUGGCCAUGUUGUUCGACUUGAAGGAUCUGGUGGACCUGAUGUCCAUCGGCGCUCUGCUGGCUUACACGCUGGUGGCCGCGUGCCUGCUGGUGCUCAGGUACAAGCCUGACAGGAGCGCCCCCUACGAGAUGGAUGUUGGCGAGCAGGAGGUGGAGAGCGAGGGCGACGGCGACGCCCGGGUUAAGGAAGAUCUCUGCGCCACCGUCGGGUGGCUGGUGCUACACCCGGAUAAAGAACCCACUCCUCGCUCCGGGUUCGCCGUCACCGUUUGCACCAGCGUCAUCGUGGUUUUGGCGUUCCUCUUCAGCGCCGUGGCGGUGACAGGCAGGCGAGCCUUGUGGCGCUCCAUCCUCCUGGGCGCCAUCUUGCUGCCGUGCGUGGGCGUCACCGCUGUGCUGUGGAGGCAGCCGCAAAACAAGAGCAGGCCCACCUUCAAAAUCCCCCUGGUGCCCAUCCUGCCUCUGGUGAGCGUGUUGAUCAAUAGCUACCUGCUGACGCAGCUCCUGGCGGGACCUUGGGUGCACUACACCACCUGCAUGGCCAUAGGUUUGCUCAUCUACUUCUGCUACGGCAUUCGUAACAGCACGCAAGCAGAGUGGAACAAGGCGCCCGAAUGCAGACUGGACGGCCGCGGAGACGAGUUGUGAUUUUCCAGCUCACUUUUUGAAGACACUUGCCAAAACACAGCAUUGUGGAUUUUUAGAGCUGCCCCAUUUACACUUACAGAAUCACUUUUGUUUGAAUUCUUGACCUGAUUUCUCUUCUACGUGAGCCGCGCAAUGUCAUGAAUCAUGUUUUUUUUGGAAGAUCCGUUUUUUUUGAAGGCCCUGGCCCACAUUCCAACCUUGAACAUCUUCUGCUAAGCACUACCCGUCAUCCUAGCUCUUGUCUACUUUUAAUCUCUUGAAUGAGUAAAUGUUUAUUUUUAGCUUGGCUUGUCUGUGUUCUUAGUUCUUGAUAAUAUUUAUAAUAUUUUGAAUGCAUGUAUUGUCCAACUUGUGGAUUGUCCUUGAGUAAUGACUUCAAUGUGCACAUUGGUUGGGAAUGAUAAUGACGUUGUGAGCGUAGAAUAGAGCUGAAAUUAAAAACGACAUCAUUUGAUUGACAGCAGUGCACAGCUACACUUAAUGUUAAAGUUCCUAAAAAUAAAGGAGAACGUCCAAUCUAAGUAGAAUGAUUUCUUCCAUUGUGUGCAGGUAAUUGCUGACGUUCCACAUGACCACCAGAGGGCGAACGCGCGCAGCUGGUUCUUCGACAUGCUCCGUGAGAACUUUUCUUCAUGUUGACCUCGUUGAUUUUUGCUGGAAUGAAGAUUUGAGGUUCCGAGCUGGCAUGAUGGUCCUUCAGUCGACUGGACCCGCACACAAGUAAACUUGCCCCUCCGGGAGGUGGGUGGACAAACAUCCAAGUCUGAAAUGUGCGAGAG
This is an RNA transcript of Syngnathus acus (greater pipefish), 2636 nucleotides long. It is a transcript of the gene named high affinity cationic amino acid transporter 1-like, with no coding region annotated. Lineage: Eukaryota; Metazoa; Chordata; Actinopteri; Syngnathiformes; Syngnathidae. The record is from RefSeq and is a predicted model, not a curated record. The transcript has 14 exons.